This is a long non-coding RNA of Cicer arietinum (chickpea), 536 nucleotides long. RefSeq lists it as uncharacterized. The record is from RefSeq and is a predicted model, not a curated record. Lineage: Eukaryota; Viridiplantae; Streptophyta; Magnoliopsida; Fabales; Fabaceae.
AAGUCUUAAACAAACAUGCAUUAUUGAGUCCAAUAAUUAAACCUCAAUCAUGGUCUUUAUAUAUCUCUUUCUUCUUACCCGCUUUGAAGCACCACUUAUUCAAACUUCGUAUCUCAUUAAUUUGCAAAACACAAACAUUAAUUACCUUACACUUUGCACAUUAAUUAUACUAGCUAAUCAUGGUUGGUCAAUCGGGAAAUUUUACAAAAGCAAGCCUAGUUCAACUGAUGAAUUCCAUGUCCCUGAUAGCUAGAUCCUCUUUAAAAACGCGAGGUGGACCAAGAAGAUCAGACCUAAGCAACGGGGGUGGUGCACAAAAUAAUAACAUUGGAACAAAGAAGAAGAAUGAGAAUUUGGCAAACAACAAAAAUUAAUUAUGACAAUAAGUUGAUUAUAAGAUAAAAAGUAUAGAUUCUGCUCUUGUCAUCUAUAAUUAUCAAUGUGUGCUUCAUCAUUUCAUGAUAUUGGCAUUCCUAUAUAUCUUUAAAAGACAUGUAUUUACUUUAUGAUUGUUAAUUUGAUCUUAUAUUCUUCAA